UACGGAGGGUGCGAGCGUUGUUCGGAAUCACUGGGCGUAAAGGGCGUGUAGGCGGUCUGUUAAGUCUGAUGUGAAAGCCCGGGGCUCACCCCCGGAAGUGCAUUGGAUACUGGCGGACUCGAGUCUCGGAGAGGAGGGUGGAAUUCCUGGUGUAGCGGUGAAAUGCGUAGAUAUCAGGAGGAACACCGGUGGCGAAGGCGGCCCUCUGGACGAUGACUGACGCUGAGACGCGAAAGCGUGGGGAGCAAACAGG
Molecule: ribosomal RNA, 253 nt
Filed under: uncultured bacterium
Lineage: Bacteria
Description: partial 16S ribosomal RNA
Rfam family: Bacterial small subunit ribosomal RNA
Source: RNAcentral